GGGGGUAUAGCUCAGUGGUAGAGCAUUCGACUACAAAUCAAGAGGUCCAUGUGGUUCAAACCCGAGUGUCUUCU
This is a non-coding RNA of Trichonephila inaurata madagascariensis, 74 nucleotides long. The record is from the annotation of a GenBank genome assembly. NCBI's taxonomy places the organism in Eukaryota, Metazoa, Arthropoda, Arachnida, Araneae, Nephilidae.